GACGAACGCUGGCGGCGUGCUUAACACAUGCAAGUCGAGCGGUAAGGCCCUUUCGGGGGUACGACGAGCGGCGAACGGGUGAGUAACACGUGGGUGACCUGCCCUCCAGCUCUGGGAUAAGCCUGGGAAACUGGGUCUAAUACCGGAUAUGACUCCAUGACGCAUGUUGUGGGGUGGAAAGCCUUGUGCGGCUGGGGAUGGGCCCGCGGCCUAUCAGCUUGUUGGUGGGGUGAUGGCCUACCAAGGCGACGACGGGUAGCCGGCCUGAGAGGGCGACCGGCCACACUGGGACUGAGACACGGCCCAGACUCCUACGGGAGGCAGCAGUGGGGAAUCUUGCGCAAUGGGCGAAAGCCUGACGCAGCGACGCCGCGUGAGGGAUGACGGCCUGGUGUAA
Molecule: ribosomal RNA, 397 nt
Filed under: uncultured bacterium
Lineage: Bacteria
Description: bacterial SSU rRNA
Rfam family: Bacterial small subunit ribosomal RNA
Source: RNAcentral